Molecule: transfer RNA, 72 nt
Filed under: Camelus bactrianus (Bactrian camel)
Lineage: Eukaryota; Metazoa; Chordata; Mammalia; Artiodactyla; Camelidae
Also listed under: 2 other names
Rfam family: tRNA
About the family: Transfer RNA (tRNA) molecules are approximately 80 nucleotides in length. Their secondary structure includes four short double-helical elements and three loops (D, anti-codon, and T loops). Further hydrogen bonds mediate the characteristic L-shaped molecular structure. tRNAs have two regions of fundamental functional importance: the anti-codon, which is responsible for specific mRNA codon recognition, and the 3' end, to which the tRNAs corresponding amino acid is attached (by aminoacyl-tRNA synthetases). tRNAs cope with the degeneracy of the genetic code in two manners: having more than one tRNA (with a specific anti-codon) for a particular amino acid; and 'wobble' base-pairing, i.e. permitting non-standard base-pairing at the 3rd anti-codon position.
Source: Rfam by way of RNAcentral
GGCUAUACAGCUCACUAGCAGAGUGCAUGCUUGGCGUGCAUGAAGCCCUGGGUUCAAUCCCUAGUAACCCCA